CAAGGGGUGGCACUGCAGCAUUAAGAGGUGGCACAUCUAAAAUUCAAGGGGUGGCACUGCAGCAUUAAGAGGUGACACGUCUAAAAUUCAAGGGGUGGCACUGCAGCAUUAAGAGGUGGCACAUCUAAAAUUCAGGGGUGGCACUGCAGCAUUAAGAGGUGGCACAUCUAAAAUUCAGGGGGUGGCACUGCAGCAUUAAGAGGUGACACGUCUAAAAUUCAAGGGGUGGCACUGCAGCAUUAAGAGGUGGCACGUCUAAAAUUCAGGGGGUG
This is a long non-coding RNA of Erpetoichthys calabaricus (reedfish), 272 nucleotides long. RefSeq lists it as uncharacterized. The record is from RefSeq and is a predicted model, not a curated record. NCBI's taxonomy places the organism in Eukaryota, Metazoa, Chordata, Cladistia, Polypteriformes, Polypteridae. The transcript has 3 exons.